GGUUAGGGGUCGGCUGUCGGUUUCCGAAAGGAAUUGAAAGGGAAUCCGCCGCCAGCCCGUCUGGCGAACCGGAACUGCCCCCGCAACUGUAGGCGGCGAGGAACACUGCGAACAUGCCACUGUGGUGCAAGCCAUGGGAAGGCCGCAGUUUCCGUUGACCCGCCAGUCAGGAGACCUGCCGACGUCUGAACGCAACA
Molecule: non-coding RNA, 197 nt
Filed under: Haematobacter massiliensis
Lineage: Bacteria; Pseudomonadati; Pseudomonadota; Alphaproteobacteria; Rhodobacterales; Paracoccaceae
Source: RNAcentral